AAUUAAAAAAAGACUGAAGACAACUCCUGUCUUCAGUCCAGGGAAAUGGCUCUGUUCAGAGCCAUGCGCUAAAAGUUGGCAUUAAUGCAGGCUUUGGGUGGUCUGCCAUUUAAAGAUAGUCGGAUUACGUAGAUUUUCCACCCU
This 144-nucleotide small RNA is filed under the name Erwinia tracheiphila. The record is from RNAcentral. Lineage: Bacteria; Pseudomonadati; Pseudomonadota; Gammaproteobacteria; Enterobacterales; Erwiniaceae.